This 426-nucleotide ribosomal RNA is filed under the name uncultured bacterium. Its description in RNAcentral is "partial 16S ribosomal RNA". It matches the Rfam family "Bacterial small subunit ribosomal RNA", at positions 354 to 796 of the family's 1533-position model. The record is from RNAcentral.
GUGAGGAAUUUUCCGCAAUGGGCGAAAGCCUGACGGAGCAAUGCCGCGUGAAGGAUGAAGGCCUAUGGGUUGUAAACUUCUUUUCUUAGAGAAGAAUAUUGACGGUAUCUGAGGAAUAAGCACCGGCUAACUCCGUGCCAGCAGCCGCGGUAAUACGGAGGGUGCAAGCGUUAUCCGGAUUUACUGGGUUUAAAGGGUGUGUAGGCGGGCUAUUAAGUCAGGGGUGAAAUCCCGGGGCUCAACCUCGGAACUGCCUUUGAUACUAUUAGUCUUAAAUUAUGUUAAGGUUGGCGGAAUAUAACAUGUAGCGGUGAAAUGCAAAGAUAUGUUAUAGAACACCGAUUGCGAAGGCAGCUGGCUAAACAUAUAUUGACGCUGAGGCACGAAAGCGUGGGUAGCGAACAGGAUUAGAAACCCCUGUAGUCC